This is a long non-coding RNA of Notolabrus celidotus (New Zealand spotty), 482 nucleotides long. RefSeq lists it as uncharacterized. The transcript has 3 exons. Lineage: Eukaryota; Metazoa; Chordata; Actinopteri; Labriformes; Labridae. The record is from RefSeq and is a predicted model, not a curated record.
AGUGUGGAUCCAGCAUGGAUGUCAUGACACAGUCUUGAGAAAGCAGCCUCAAACAGUUAUCCUUUCAAAGUCUCCCCCUCCUGGAAAGCACCCAAGUGAAUAUGAGCACCACCGGAUCAUAACUCCAGAUAUUGAGAAAAUCAUGAAUACAGAAAAUGUAUGGCCAAUGUGAUGAUAACAAGAAGCUCCAGAGACAUCAUGAAGGGAGUCAUUUCAAACAUCCCCCACAGGAGAAGCAAAAGGAGACUGAGCAGCUCUGGUUCCAAAGGUAGAAAGACCCUUAUAUGCUGAUGUAUCUGAUCGAUACCUCAAGGCUGUCUUCUGUGCAGGAAGUCGCAAGUUUGUGUUCUGGUGCCCUCUUUUAAGUUUAUUGUUGGUGACUGUGAUGACCUGUAUUACACUUUUUUAGCCACAAUGUAAACAAGAUGCAACUUGGAAACUGUUUUUAAUAGACUUUUGAAUUUGAGAUGACUCAUGGCAGA